AUGCCGGCCAGCGCGGCUGCGGCCGCCGCGGAAGGCGAGGAGAAGGCGGCGGAGGCGGGGGGCAGGGAGCUGCUGUACUGCGGCACGGUGCGCUUCGACAUCAUGGGCCGGACGGUGAAGGGCGGGGUGCAGGGCAGAGGCAACCUGGUGUCCCCGACGCGGCUGCGCCCUCUCGUGGGCGUGGACAUCCGCUUCGUCGCCUCCGGCUGCGCGGCUUGCCACUGUGUUGCUCUGAGUUCUGACGGCCGUUGCUUCUCAUGGGGUCGAAAUGAGCAGAAGGGGCAGCUGGGGCAUGGGGACACUCUCUUGCGUAACCUGCCAACUGUUGUUUCUAAACUAUCAAAAUACAACAUAAUCGCAGCAGGUGUUGGAAGAAAUCAUACGGUGGUCGUAACUGACGAUGGGAGGUCCUUUGCAUUUGGUGACAACAGACAUGGCCAGUUGGGGAUGGGUUCACUAAGGAGUGGAACUAGGGUGUCGCCAGUCCCCUGCCUCGUUACUAAAGCAACUAAUGCUGUUUGUGGUGCCGACUUUACUGUCUGGCUAUCAUCAGUUGAGGGCUCUUCCAUACUCACAGCAGGUCUUCCCCAGUACGGCCAACUUGGCCAUGGAAGCGACAAUGAGUAUAAUGCCAAUGCAUCAUCGGUAAGGCUAACAUAUGAUCCCCAGCCCCACCCCAGGGCAAUAGCUGCAUUAUCUGGGAAGACCGUUGUCAAAGUUGCAUGUGGAACAAAUCAUACAGUUGCAGUUGAUUCAAGUGGCUUUGUUUACACCUGGGGUUUUGGUGGAUAUGGAAGGUUGGGUCAUAAUGAACAGAAAGAUGAGUGGCAACCACGCCUCGUUGAAAUAUUUCAAAAGAACAAUAUGCUAUCUCCCAGUGAUAUUAUCUCAGCUGGUUCUGCAAGUUCUGCGUGCACUGCCGGUGGUCGUGGGCAGCUGUAUGUGUGGGGAAAGUUGAAGAACUGGGGCGAUGAGUGCAUGUAUCCUAAGCCAGUUAGAGAUUUAAGCGGUUGGAACAUCCGCUGCAUGGCUUCUGGCGACAUGCACCAUAUUGUUGGUGCAGAGGAUUCUUGCAUAAGUUGGGGUCUUUCUGAAUAUGGAGAGCUUGGUUAUGGCCCUACACAAAAGUCAUCUGUAAAUCCUAAAAGGGUUGACAUUCUUGAAGGAAUGCAUGUUACAAGUGUUGGUUGUGGAGUUGGGAUGUCUCUGAUUGUUGUAGACAGGGCAAAUGUUGGUGAUAAGCUUGACCAGCUGGAUAAUUUUGAUGGUGAUAUUGAUGCUCUCUUUCAAGAGAACACGAAAAAGCUCUACUUUCUUCCGCGCCGAGACAGUAAAGAAAAACCAAAACCAAAGACGAGCCAACAUCCCGCAAUCGACGAAACAGCAGAAGAGACACCGGAGCCGGAGCAGGUAACCAAGGCGGCAUCUCCCACCACUAACUCACGGUCCAACAAGCGCAAGAAAGCCUCGGAACACGCAGAACCAGAAGCCGAGGACGGGAUCAGACAGGUACCGAAGGAGGAGGCAGAGUGUGGCAGUCAUGGUCGCGGGCGGGGCAGAGGCAGGGGGGCCAAGACGGCGACUCCGGAGCCAAUGCCGUCAGGAAGGGGCAGAGGCAGAGGCCGCCCCAAGAAGGGAACCAGCAGCCCUGGCGCUGCUACUCCGGAAGCCGGGAGCUCGGGACGAGGUGGGAAGAAGAGCGGGAAGCGAGGGAGGCCUCGCAAGUGA
RNAcentral lists this ribosomal RNA (1728 nucleotides) under Triticum aestivum (bread wheat). Its description in RNAcentral is "partial small subunit ribosomal RNA". The record is from RNAcentral. Lineage: Eukaryota; Viridiplantae; Streptophyta; Magnoliopsida; Poales; Poaceae.